Molecule: ribosomal RNA, 310 nt
Filed under: uncultured Sneathia sp.
Lineage: Bacteria; Fusobacteriati; Fusobacteriota; Fusobacteriia; Fusobacteriales; Leptotrichiaceae
Description: bacterial SSU rRNA
Rfam family: Bacterial small subunit ribosomal RNA
Source: RNAcentral
UGCAAAUGAAAGCUACGGCACUAAAGGAGAGCUUUGCGUCUAUUAGCUAGUUGGUAGGUAAGAGCUUACCAAGCGAUGAUAGGUAGCCGGCCUGAGAGGGUGGACGGCCACAAGGGGACUGAGAUACGGCCCUUACUCCUACGGGAGGCAGCAGUGGGGAAUAUUGGACAAUGGAGGGAACUCUGAUCCAGCAAUUCUGUGUGUGUGAAGAAGGUUUUAGGACUGUAAAACACUUUUAGUAGGGGAAGAAAAAAAUGACGGUACCUACAGAAGAAGCAACGGCUAAAUACGUGCCAGCAGCCGCGGUAAU